AGCGAACGCUGGCGGCAGGCCUAACACAUGCCAGUCGAACGAACCUUUCGGGGUUAGUGGCGGACGGGUGAGUAACACGUGGGAACGUGCCUUUAGGUUCGGAAUAACUCAGGGAAACUUGUGCUAAUACCGAAUGUGCCCUUCGGGGGAAAGAUUUAUCGCCUUUAGAGCGGCCCGCGUCUGAUUAGCUAGUUGGUUGAGGUAAUGGCUCACCAAGGCGACGAUCAGUAGCUGGUCUGAGAGGAUGAUCAGCCACAUUGGGACUGAGACACGGCCCAAACUCCGACGGAGGGAGGGAGGGGGGAUUCUGGCGAAAGGGGCAAAAGCCGGACGCAGCCAGGCGGGGGAAAUGAGAAGGGUCUAGGGAUUGAAAAAUUCUUCCACGGGGGAGGAAAAUGACGGUACCGGGAGAAGAAGCCCCGGCUAACUUCGG
Molecule: ribosomal RNA, 433 nt
Filed under: uncultured bacterium
Lineage: Bacteria
Description: partial 16S ribosomal RNA
Rfam family: Bacterial small subunit ribosomal RNA
Source: RNAcentral